AGAUUGAACGCUGGCGGCAGGCCUAACACAUGCAAGUCGAGCGGUAGAGAGGUGCUUGCAUCUCUUGAGAGCGGCGGACGGGUGAGUAAUGCCUAGGAAUCUGCCUAGUGGUGGGGGAUAACGUUCGGAAACGGACGCUAAUACCGCAUACGUCCUACGGGAGAAAGCGGGGGACCUUCGGGCCUCGCGCCAUUAGAUGAGCCUAGGUCGGAUUAGCUAGUUGGUGAGGUAAUGGCUCACCAAGGCGACGAUCCGUAACUGGUCUGAGAGGAUGAUCAGUCACACUGGAACUGAGACACGGUCCAGACUCCUACGGGAGCAGCAGUGGGAAUAUGGACAAGUGGGACGAAAGCCUGAUCCAGCCAUGCCGCGUGUGUAGAA
This 381-nucleotide ribosomal RNA is filed under the name uncultured soil bacterium. RNAcentral's name for it is "bacterial SSU rRNA". It matches the Rfam family "Bacterial small subunit ribosomal RNA", at positions 26 to 412 of the family's 1533-position model. The record is from RNAcentral.